This is a long non-coding RNA of Felis catus (domestic cat), 1977 nucleotides long. RefSeq lists it as uncharacterized. NCBI's taxonomy places the organism in Eukaryota, Metazoa, Chordata, Mammalia, Carnivora, Felidae. The transcript has 4 exons. The record is from RefSeq and is a predicted model, not a curated record.
ACUGUUUUCCAGAGUGGCUGCACCAAUUUGCAUUCCCACCAACAGCCAAAGCAGUGUUUUUAAUUCUCUCCACCUUUACUUUGUUCGUUGUCUUGGGCAUCCAUGGUAGCCGAUAUCAUCCAUCUGGGGCUGCGGCUCUGUUUUAAUCUCGGCGUUAGCCCUCGGUGGCAUCUUGAGUUAGAGUCUUGUAUGAGACUGCCCUCCUGACUGGGAAAAUGAAGGAAAUGAUUCUAUUCACCUCACAGGUGGCCGGGGAUGUUGGCAACGUUGAAGGAGAUGGCUUGUCCGAAAUGCAGCUGAAGGGCUUGACAAAUGGAAAUUAUCGCUACUGUUCUGCAUGUUAGAUUCCCAGAUUUUCCUUAAUAGAGACAACAGAGCCUUCAUGGUGAGAUGCGGGAGACAGCUGAAGUGGGCAGUGACAGGCCUCUGCCUCCUAAUCGGUCCCCGAUUCUGACCCCAAAUGGGAAAAUCUGAGGUUCGAGGUCCGGUACGCAAGCAGUUCAAGCCUCGUAUCACGCCAUUGGAAGAGCGAAAAGGCGUGUCUAGUGUCUCCUUAAUUUCUGGAUAAUGCUUAGCCCACAUUUUAACUAUGGAUAGACAAGGCAUUAGGAAACACUGACAGUUGUACCCAGAUUUUAAAAAUGUGGGUUCCAAAUGCUUCAAAUGAUCGCAAAGUCGUGACAUUUAGCCAUGGUGUUCAUAUCAGGUGCACAGUCACUGAAGUUAAAGUGGCAACGUUCACACCUCACUAGGUCCUAGGCACGAAGUUUUAUACAAGCCUUUUUUCUCACUGUGUCUCACUAUGAACUUGCUGUUGUAAGUGGAUAGGCAACAUCUUUGGCCACAAAAAGACUUAUGUGAAAAUAUAAAUCUAAAGGAGUGUCUGCUGUGAAUCUCUUCUCUCUUCUCAGACAAACAGAGGCCCGAUGGGGCCAUGAACUCUGGCUGGGAUGUGAUUUUAUGGAAGCAGGAGUUGGUGAUCAUUUAUCAAAAGGAGCGAUCUGAAACGUUGCAUCUCAAUGGAGUGAUAGAAAACAGUGUGGCAGAAAUCCACUUCUCUUAUCAGGGCCCCGAAAGAUGCUUCCAAGAAUUCAUGAGCAUUUAUAUCAGCAUUCUUCUACAAUCACAGGUGUCUAUUGUGCCCUAGGGAGGAAGGGGAGAAGACAGGAGCUCGGAGGUUCAUCAAUUGGGAAAGCGAACUGAAUGCAGAAUUCUUCCCAUAGCAAGUCAUGUUAUCCACGCAAGCAGCCCUAUGGACAAGGGCGAGGCCCUACAGUGGUUACAACGGCGGACAGCACAGUGGGUCCAGACACACCACAGAUCAUUGCCAGCCCUGCGCGGGCAGCUACUUGGCCAUGUUCCUGGCCCUGAACCACACCGAUGAGCUGACCUUCGCAUGUUAGCUAUUGUUUUCCAGAGAAAACUGGGCCUAUGCAUGUUGUACAGACAACACGGAUUUAUGUCUGGUUUUGGAAAAAAUAAGUUCUAGCAUGCACUCUACUGAAAAUAGGCCGGUUGCUGGAGCUUCACGUCUUUUCACUGUUGUUCUGUGAAAAACCAGAGCAAAUGAUAAGUUCUCAACUCUUUUGCUAUGGGCCAAAAAUGGAAGAUGUCUAUAAAAGCGCCUCCCCGAUAUAAGGAAGUGACGCUGGUUCUAGGAAGAAGAGAAGACGGGCUUCCUAGAGGUUUCAGAUGUGCUAACUGCCACGUGCACGCAGGAGACCUUAACCUCUGUAGUUUUCAGAUGGAGGCAGCGACUAUCCACGAUGCCUCUUGGAUUGCUCAUUCUGGGGGAAGCCAGCUGCCAUACUAAGAGACAGCACGCAGAGAGGCUCCUAUGAGACCAUGGGAGAAAAUCCUGGGGAUGACUGUAGCUGAGCUGACACUUUGGUUGCAGGAUCGUGACAGACCCAGCCUAGCUGCUCCCAGACUCCUGACCCACAGAACUGGUGAGAUAAUAAAUACUCUUGUUUCCAG